This 253-nucleotide ribosomal RNA is filed under the name uncultured bacterium. Its description in RNAcentral is "partial 16S ribosomal RNA". It matches the Rfam family "Bacterial small subunit ribosomal RNA", at positions 524 to 776 of the family's 1533-position model. The record is from RNAcentral.
UACGUAGGGUGCAAGCGUUAAUCGGAAUUACUGGGCGUAAAGCGUGCGCAGGCGGUUUUGUAAGACUGUCGUGAAAUCCCCGGGCUUAACCUGGGAAUGGCGAUGGUGACUGCAAGGCUAGAGUUUGGCAGAGGGGGGUAGAAUUCCACGUGUAGCAGUGAAAUGCGUAGAGAUGUGGAGGAAUACCGAUGGCGAAGGCAGCCCCCUGGGCCAAUACUGACGCUCAUGCACGAAAGCGUGGGGAGCAAACAGG